RNAcentral lists this ribosomal RNA (502 nucleotides) under uncultured Sphingobacteriales bacterium. RNAcentral describes it as "bacterial SSU rRNA". It matches the Rfam family "Bacterial small subunit ribosomal RNA", at positions 903 to 1382 of the family's 1533-position model. Lineage: Bacteria; Pseudomonadati; Bacteroidota; Sphingobacteriia; Sphingobacteriales. The record is from RNAcentral.
CGCCUUGCCAGCCCGCUCAGAAACUUAAAGGAAUUGACGGGGCCGCACAAGCGGAGGAGCAUGUGGUUAAUUCGAUGAUACGCGAGGAACCUUACCUGGGCUCGAACGUAAGAUGACUGUAGGUGUAAGCUUACAUCUCUUCGGAGCAUUUUACGAGGUGCUGCAUGGUUGUCGUCAGCUCGUGCCGUGAGGUGUCGGGUUAAGUCCCAUAACGAGCGCAACCCCUACCUUUAGUUGCCAUCAGGUAAUGCUGGGGACUCUAAAGGAACUGCCUACGCAAGUAGUGAGGAAGGCGGGGAUGACGUCAAAUCAGCACGGCCCUUACGUCCAGGGCUACACACGUGCUACAAUGGCCGAUACAGAGGGCAGCUACCUGGUGACAGGAUGCAAAUCUCCAAAGUCGGUCUCAGUUCGGAUCGGAGUCUGCAACCCGACUCCGUGAAGUUGGAUUCGCUAGUAAUCGCGCAUCAGCCAUGGCGCGGUGAAUACGUUCCCGGGCCUU